GCGAUAGAGGUGCGAAACGCAUCAGUACCGCGUAGCAGGCAGCCGAUUGCCGUAGGACGCGGGAAAGGGCGUUUUGCCGAAGACCGGGGUAUAUCGGCUGUACCGUGGUCUGGGGGCGUUUUGGCGAAAGCCGCGCCACUGUCAUCAGAACUUGGUGGAGUGCUAUCG
This 168-nucleotide non-coding RNA is filed under the name Candidatus Fimenecus excrementigallinarum. Its description in RNAcentral is "Lysine riboswitch". It matches the Rfam family "Lysine riboswitch aptamer". Rfam says of the family: Riboswitches are metabolite binding domains within certain messenger RNAs that serve as precision sensors for their corresponding targets. Allosteric rearrangement of mRNA structure is mediated by ligand binding, and this results in modulation of gene expression. Lineage: Bacteria; Bacillati; Bacillota; Clostridia. The record is from RNAcentral.